This 69-nucleotide transfer RNA is filed under the name Marmota marmota marmota (Alpine marmot). It matches the Rfam family "tRNA". Rfam says of the family: Transfer RNA (tRNA) molecules are approximately 80 nucleotides in length. Their secondary structure includes four short double-helical elements and three loops (D, anti-codon, and T loops). RNAcentral also lists the same sequence under 1 other name. Lineage: Eukaryota; Metazoa; Chordata; Mammalia; Rodentia; Sciuridae. The record is from Rfam by way of RNAcentral.
GGGAUUUUGGCUCAGUGACAGAGCGCUUGCCUAGCAUGCAUGAGGCACUGGGUUCGAUCUCCAGUACCA